This 133-nucleotide small nucleolar RNA is filed under the name Castor canadensis (American beaver). RNAcentral describes it as "Small nucleolar RNA SNORA71 (ENSCCNG00000018741.1)". It matches the Rfam family "Small nucleolar RNA SNORA71". From Rfam's summary of the family: The members of this family belong to the H/ACA class of snoRNAs which bind a number of proteins (including dyskerin, Gar1p and Nop10p) to form snoRNP complexes. This class of snoRNAs are thought to guide the sites of modification of uridines to pseudouridines by forming direct base pairing interactions with substrate RNAs. The record is from Rfam by way of RNAcentral. Lineage: Eukaryota; Metazoa; Chordata; Mammalia; Rodentia; Castoridae.
CCCUGCAUCCAAAAGUGAUUGCGGGCUGCCCGUGCCCUGACCAUUGAUAGUGCAGGGAGAUGAAUGUGGAAAGAAGUUUUCCCUGUGUUUGGAGGCUCCACCCAUCCAUUCUAAACCCUAGAGCUUUCCCACA